Molecule: long non-coding RNA, 536 nt
Organism: Schistocerca gregaria
Lineage: Eukaryota; Metazoa; Arthropoda; Insecta; Orthoptera; Acrididae
Exons: 3
Source: RefSeq, a predicted model, not a curated record
GACUGGAAUGUUUAAGUCUCCCUGGUUGCGACGUUUAUCAGAACACUACAUACCCAGAGGCAAGCUGAAGAAGAAAGCUCAUUAUAUCAAAAAAUUAAUUACCUAUCACAAUACCCGGGGACAGCUGCACCCAAGAUAGAUAACCAAAAGGCAGCUGAAACGCGACGUUUAAUUACAUUUUUUUGCCUGGGGCAUACAUAUACUAUGGAAAAGGAUAUAUAAAAAGACUUCAAAAUACGGCGGCUUCCUAUUCUACUUGAAUUACUUUUAAAGGUAAUUUUAAUUUCAUUAGAUAUACUUUUGGUGCAAUGGUCUGUCGAACAUAUCAUGAAACAAGACUGCAUGAAACAUAUUUACAGAAAAAACAAAAGAAAUAUGCUAAUGUCCUUUUCAUAAGUCUUAAGUAGAAUGGUCCUAAUCGAUGUGGAAUAAGAAAGACAUUCAUAAACAUAUUUUGAUUAAGAGAUGGUAACAAAUUCGUCAGACACUAUGUAAAUGUUCAGUGCAUCGAGGUGCAUAACCGUUAUAAUUCUGAG